UGACAGACAGUCGAUUAUGGUGUGAUGACCCAAUCUAGUGGGUUCGGUGGUGUAGUGGUUAUCAUGUCUGCUU
This 73-nucleotide non-coding RNA is filed under the name Schistosoma japonicum. The record is from RNAcentral. Lineage: Eukaryota; Metazoa; Platyhelminthes; Trematoda; Strigeidida; Schistosomatidae.